Molecule: transfer RNA, 84 nt
Filed under: Candidatus Aenigmarchaeota archaeon ex4484_14
Lineage: Archaea; Nanobdellati; Candidatus Aenigmatarchaeota
Description: tRNA-Ser
Rfam family: tRNA
About the family: Transfer RNA (tRNA) molecules are approximately 80 nucleotides in length. Their secondary structure includes four short double-helical elements and three loops (D, anti-codon, and T loops).
Source: RNAcentral
GCUGGGGUAGCCAAGUCAGGUCCAAGGCGCCAGCUUGGAGAGCUGGUGAGCUUCGGCUCGCGUGGGUUCAAACCACCCCCUACG